RNAcentral lists this ribosomal RNA (376 nucleotides) under uncultured archaeon. Its description in RNAcentral is "bacterial SSU rRNA". It matches the Rfam family "Archaeal small subunit ribosomal RNA", at positions 347 to 727 of the family's 1478-position model. The record is from RNAcentral.
ACUUUACCAUGCGGGCAACCGUGAUAAGGAAACCCCGAGUGCCAGCACAGGCUGGCUGUCCGCCAGUUUAAAUAACUGGUGAAGAAAGGGCCGGGCAAGACCGGUGCCAGCCGCCGCGGUAAUACCGGCGGCUCGAGUGGUGGCCGCUAUUACUGGGCUUAAAGGGUCCGUAGCUUGAUAACUGGGUCCCUUGAGAAAUCCGCCAGCUUAACUGGCGGGCGUUCAGGGGAAACUUGUUUUCUAGGGACCGGGAGAGGUGAGGGGUACUGCCGGGGUAGGAGUGAAAUCCUGUAAUCCCGGUGGGACCACCUAUGGCGAAGGCAUCUCACCAGAACGGGUCCGACAGUGAGGGACGAAAGCUAGGGGCACGAACCGG